CAGGUCCUGCGAGGCCCCAGUGAGGUCACCCCAAAGCUUCUCCUCUCCAGGCUGGACAAUCCCAGCUCUCCCAGCCUUUCCUCCCAGCAGAGCUGCUCCAUCCCUCUGAUCAAUUUGGUGGCCUUCUCUGGAAUUGCUCUGUCAGGUGGAUG
This is a long non-coding RNA of Corvus hawaiiensis (hawaiian crow), 152 nucleotides long. RefSeq lists it as uncharacterized. The transcript is spliced from 3 exons. The record is from RefSeq and is a predicted model, not a curated record. NCBI's taxonomy places the organism in Eukaryota, Metazoa, Chordata, Aves, Passeriformes, Corvidae.